CCUACGGGAGGCUGCAGUGAGGAAUAUUGGUCAAUGGACGAGAGUCUGAACCAGCCAAGUAGCGUGAAGGAUGACUGCCCUGUGGGUUGUAAACUUCUUUUAUAUGGGAAUAAAACGUUCCACGUGUGGGAUUUUGUAUGUACCAUAUGAAUAAGGAUCGGCUAACUCCGUGCCAGCAGCCGCGGUAAUACGGAGGAUCCGAGCGUUAUCCGGAUUUAUUGGGUUUAAAGGGAGCGUAGGUGGAUUGUUAAGUCAGUUGUGAAAGUUUGCGGCUCAACCGUAAAAUUGCAGUUGAAACUGGCAGUCUUGAGUACAGUAGAGGUGGGCGGAAUUCGUGGUGUAGCGGUGAAAUGCUUAGAUAUCACGAAGAACUCCGAUUGCGAAGGCAGUUCACUGGACUGCAACUGACACUGAGGCUCGAAAGUGUGGGUAUCAAACAGGAUGAGAUACCCUAGUAGUC
Molecule: ribosomal RNA, 460 nt
Filed under: uncultured bacterium
Lineage: Bacteria
Description: partial 16S ribosomal RNA
Rfam family: Bacterial small subunit ribosomal RNA
Source: RNAcentral